This is a non-coding RNA of Equus caballus (horse), 1405 nucleotides long. The record is from RefSeq and is a predicted model, not a curated record. Lineage: Eukaryota; Metazoa; Chordata; Mammalia; Perissodactyla; Equidae.
UCUAGUCUCUUAGCAACUUGGGAGUUUAUGAUACAGUAUUGUUGACUGUAAUCGCUGGGCGGUGCAUUAGUUCUCCAGGACUUACUUAUCUGCUGCUUGCAAGUUUGUGCUCUUAAAUGCCUCCCCCGGCUGUGUGCCGGGAAAGCUUUGUUCACAAACACCGACAGCCGGCUGAACCUGGCUGCAGUUUGCAGGCCCCUGACUCUUCGUGGCAGCAACUAUUGUGGUGUAUCCUGCUGCUGUCUUUCGAGACAGAGAGAUGUCUACUGAGAGCUUUUCUCCACCUUGGUGUCUUUAUACUUAGGAUAGGGAGACGGGGCGCCCCUUAUGAGCUCUGGAGGGUGUUGGAGGAGCUCAUCGAGAGGACGUGCCCAGAGGUGGACCUUUGAGCUGGCCCCAGGCAGUCAGAGGAUCUUCACUUCCUCCCCUGUCCUUGGAAUGUGUGUUCUGCCCACUGUUCCCACUGUGGCAGCUGCUUCAAGGACGCAGCCUUGAGAGAGUAAGUGUUCUUGAGAACAUCUGGACGGAACACGUGACUGAGCCCCGUUAAGGCAUCUGUAUCAACUUGUAAGAUUCUAGUGGGUUGGCGUGGAGAUCCACUCGCCUUGCAGCGCCCAAGACAAGCCUGGGAGAACAUAAGCUCGGCAAGGCAGAGACUUGGUUGAAGUGGCCUACCCAUGUCUUCUGAGCCAGAGCUGAGCCCGACAUAGGUCUCACAGGCAAGGUUGCUCUCGCCUCCCCCACGGGAGGAAGCUGGCUGUCAGUCAUCUUCCAAGGUAUGCCACACCUGAGGAUCAUCCAGCAAGAAGAGGUCACCCCAUCAGAAGGGUGGACCCCAGGAGCCAGGACUUGGGGACAAAUGAAUUGAGAAAGUUUAUUUAAUGAAGCAAUCGUGAGAAGAAAAGUUUCCAAUUACACUCCAUUCCCACUUUCAAUCCCAGGGUCCUCUAAAGUGAUGAAACAUAUCAGUGGAGCUGCCGUCCCUUGUGUAUAUGUCUUCUUCUUAUUUUCUUCCUCUUGUUCAAAAAGUAUUCACUAUCAAAAAUUUGGAAUUUAGCAAUUCCAUUCAUGUUUUUACACUAUUUCCGCAAAUGUAUGUAUAUAUGCAUAGAAGCUUUAUAUAAAUGGAAUCAUACUGUACAGAGGCGUCAACUUUUAACGUUCCCUUUUCGAGGCUUAUCCUUAUUGACACAUGUAGCUCUAGUUCAUUCGUUUGCUUUGUGGUAUAGUAUUCUAUUUAUUUAUCCUUCUCUUGUUGAUGGUCAUACAGGUUGCUUCUGAGUUGUUGCUAAUGCAACGAUGAUGCAAUAAACAUUGCUGUACUCAUCUCUUCCAGCACAAGUGUGAGAUUCUUUUCCUGGAGUACACACCUGGAAAUAGAAUCUUUGGUUGUAAGGUAAUACAU